RNAcentral lists this ribosomal RNA (253 nucleotides) under uncultured bacterium. RNAcentral describes it as "partial 16S ribosomal RNA". It matches the Rfam family "Bacterial small subunit ribosomal RNA", at positions 524 to 776 of the family's 1533-position model. The record is from RNAcentral.
UACAGAGGGUGCAAGCGUUGUUCGGAAUUACUGGGCGUAAAGGGCGCGUAGGCGGAUAGUUCAGUCGGGGGUGAAAGCCCGGGGCUCAACCUCGGAACUGCCUUCGAUACUGGCUAUCUUGAGUACGGGAGAGGUGUGUGGAACUCCGAGUGUAGAGGUGAAAUUCGUAGAUAUUCGGAAGAACACCAGUGGCGAAGGCGACACACUGGCCCGUUACUGACGCUGAGGCACGAAAGCGUGGGGAGCAAACAGG